GGGUUGUGAGGUUAAGCGACUAAGCGUACACGGUGGAUGCCCUGGCAGUCAGAGGCGAUGAAGGGCGUACUAAUCUGCGAUAAGCGCCGGUAAGGUGAUAUGAACCGUUAUAACCGGCGAUACCCGAAUGGGGAAACCCAGUGUGAUUCGUCACACUAUCAUUAACUGAAUCCAUAGGUUAAUGAGGCGAACCGGGGGAACUGAAACAUCUAAGUACCCCGAGGAAAAGAAAUCAACCGAGAUUCCCCCAGUAGCGGCGAGCGAACGGGGAGGAGCCCAGAGCCUGAAUCAGCAUGUGUGUUAGUGGAAGCGUCUGGAAAGGCGCGCGAUACAGGGUGACAGCCCCGUACACAAAAGCGCAUGUGCUGUGAGCUCGAUGAGUAGGGCGGGACACGUGGUAUCCUGUCUGAAUAUGGGGGGACCAUCCUCCAAGGCUAAAUACUCCUGACUGACCGAUAGUGAACCAGUACCGUGAGGGAAAGGCGAAAAGAACCCCGGCGAGGGGAGUGAAAAAGAACCUGAAACCGUGUACGUACAAGCAGUGGGAGCACAGGUUUACCUGUGUGACUGCGUACCUUUU
RNAcentral lists this ribosomal RNA (580 nucleotides) under Salmonella enterica subsp. enterica serovar Enteritidis. Its description in RNAcentral is "partial 23S ribosomal RNA". It matches the Rfam family "Bacterial large subunit ribosomal RNA", at positions 1 to 609 of the family's 2925-position model. The record is from RNAcentral. Lineage: Bacteria; Pseudomonadati; Pseudomonadota; Gammaproteobacteria; Enterobacterales; Enterobacteriaceae.